Molecule: ribosomal RNA, 99 nt
Organism: Cercocebus atys (sooty mangabey)
Lineage: Eukaryota; Metazoa; Chordata; Mammalia; Primates; Cercopithecidae
Source: Ensembl
GUCUACAACCAUACCAUCCUGAUCCUGGACACUAUGCAGGGCUGGGCCUGGCCAGAAUAUGCAUGGGAGACUGCCUGGGAAUACUGGGUGCCAUAGGAU